RNAcentral lists this ribosomal RNA (428 nucleotides) under uncultured bacterium. RNAcentral describes it as "bacterial SSU rRNA". It matches the Rfam family "Bacterial small subunit ribosomal RNA", at positions 355 to 776 of the family's 1533-position model. The record is from RNAcentral.
UAGGGAAUUUUCCACAAUGGGGGCAACCCUGAUGGAGCAAUGCCGCGUGAGAGAAGACGGCCUUCGGGUUGUAAAUCUCUGUUAUAAGGGAGGAAAACUGCAAAGAGGAAAUGCUUUGCACUUGACAUUACCUUAUCAGAAAGCCACGGCUAACUACGUGCCAGCAGCCGCGGUAAUACGUAGGUGGCGAGCGUUAUCCGGAAUUAUUGGGCGUAAAGGGUGCGCAGGUGGUUGUGUAAGAUUGUGGUUAAAGAAUGGGGCUCAACUCCAUAAUGCCAUGAUAACUGCACGACUAGAGUACAGAAGAGGAUAGCGGAAUUUCUAGUGUAGCGGUGGAAUGCGUAGAUAUUAGAAGGAACACCAGUGGCGAAGGCGGCUAUCUGGUCUGUAACUGACACUGAGGCACGAAAGCGUGGGGAGCAAAUAGG